Molecule: ribosomal RNA, 108 nt
Filed under: Candidatus Uhrbacteria bacterium
Lineage: Bacteria; Candidatus Uhriibacteriota
Also listed under: 1 other name
Source: RNAcentral
CCUGGUGGUUUUUCCAGAGAGGCCACACCCGAUCCCAUUCCGAACUCGGAAGUUAAGCUCUCUAGGGCCGAUGGUAGUGCUUAGCGCGAGAGUAGGUCACUGCCAGGA